AGUGAACGCUGGCGGUAGGCCUAACACAUGCAAGUCGAACGGCAGCACAGUAAGAGCUUGCUCUUACGGGUGGCGAGUGGCGGACGGGUGAGGAAUACAUCGGAAUCUACUUUUUCGUGGGGGAUAACGUAGGGAAACUUACGCUAAUACCGCAUACGACCUACGGGUGAAAGCAGGGGAUCUUCGGACCUUGCGCGAUUGAAUGAGCCGAUGUCGGAUUAGCUAGUUGGCGGGGUAAAGGCCCACCAAGGCGACGAUCCGUAGCUGGUCUGAGAGGAUGAUCAGCCACACUGGAACUGAGAAACGGUCCAGACUCCUACGGGAGGCAGCAGUGGGGAAUAUUGGACAAUGGGCGCAAGCCUGAUCCAGCCAUACUGCGUGGGUGAAGAAGGCCUUCGGGUUGUAAAGCCCUUUUGUUGGGAAAGAAAAGCAGCAGGUUAAGACCCCGCUGUUCUGACGGUACCCAAAGAAUAAGCACCGGCUAACUUCGU
Molecule: ribosomal RNA, 491 nt
Filed under: uncultured bacterium
Lineage: Bacteria
Description: partial 16S ribosomal RNA
Rfam family: Bacterial small subunit ribosomal RNA
Source: RNAcentral